UAGGCGGUGGAAAAUGAACCAAAUGGGAUUCCUUAAGUAAUUGCGAAUGAACAAGGAAAUGCUCAGCUUGAAAAAUGGGGCCUUUGGCUUUGAAUUGUAAUUUUGAAAUGUAUUGCCAAUGGAGGCGCAGGUGCAAGCCUAUUGAAAGAAAGCGUCAACGAGGGUGAAAUUCCUUUUUGUCAUUUGCAGUCCUCCCGUGCACGGUAUAUAUUUGACGAGUCACACUCCUCGGCAUUGGAAUGCAAAGUGGGUGGUAAAUUCCAUGUAAAGGUAAAUAUAUUAUUGAGACUGAUAGCAAACAAGUACCAUGAGGGAAAUAUGAAAAGGACUUUGAAAAGGGAAUUAAAAGAGUCUGCAUUUGCUGAACAGAAAGCAAACAGAAUUGAUGUGCUUGGUUGGAUUGUUGUGCCCACUCUGUCAUUUAUGUCGGAUGUGGGUGCGAUGGUUCUUACCUUGAAUGUCAGCUUCUAUUUCUGCAAAUCAUUACCCUUGCACAUGAAUGGUAAUUUGCCUGCGGGUAUUGGAAUGUAUGUGUUUGCAAUGAUUUGUGAUUUGAUGCAUGUGGUUGGUGGACUUUGUAUGUGCUGUUUUGCCAACGGGGAAGGGACUCUUCCUUGAGCACUGCAAGCCCUUGCACAUUGAUGCUGGCAAAAUGUUUCUGCUUG
This 665-nucleotide ribosomal RNA is filed under the name Alexandrium minutum. RNAcentral's name for it is "LSU rRNA". It matches the Rfam family "Eukaryotic large subunit ribosomal RNA", at positions 47 to 646 of the family's 3401-position model. The record is from RNAcentral. Lineage: Eukaryota; Dinophyceae; Gonyaulacales; Pyrocystaceae.